CCCCCAGUAAGGGCGACUGAACGGGGAGAAGCCCAGCGCGGAACCUCGCGCGCCUCACCGGCUGCGUCUGAGGAAUGUCGCGUUCCGGAGGGGCCUUCUCCGACCACACCGACCCCCCCCAAGUCCGCUUGAACGCGGCCACUACCCAGGGAGGGUGCGAGGCCCGUACGGGGAUUAGGAGUCGGGCGGUCGGACGGCCCCGUCCGUAGAGUCGGGUUGCCUACUAACGCAGCCCAAAGCAGGUGGUAAACUCCAUCUAAGGCUAAAUAUGACCACGAGACCGAUAGCGAACAAGU
RNAcentral lists this ribosomal RNA (296 nucleotides) under Anchisquilloides mcneilli. RNAcentral's name for it is "partial large subunit ribosomal RNA". It matches the Rfam family "Eukaryotic large subunit ribosomal RNA", at positions 77 to 349 of the family's 3401-position model. The record is from RNAcentral. Lineage: Eukaryota; Metazoa; Arthropoda; Malacostraca; Stomatopoda; Squillidae.